This 717-nucleotide long non-coding RNA is filed under the name Aotus nancymaae (Ma's night monkey). Its description in RNAcentral is "lncRNA (ENSANAG00000039418.1)". Lineage: Eukaryota; Metazoa; Chordata; Mammalia; Primates; Aotidae. The record is from RNAcentral.
UAGGAGAGAAGUGUGUUACUAAAUAAAAUAGUUGUAGCUCCUUUAAUUUGAGAAUCUAGCCCCUGUUCCUAUAUUGAACCUAUCUAAUCUCUGAUUCUUUAGACAGUAACGGGAAGUCAUUCUUAUUUAUUUAGUUUUUUAGCGUGCUAUAGGAAAUUGAUUAGAAAACUUCUUCCUGCCUUCUGUCAUUCAGGUGGGAAUACAGAAGCCUCUGGGCUCUGCAAGGCCACCAUAUCCUGUGGCUUUCCUCCUCCUUACUGCCAUUGCACAUACGCUGGACAGACCCUGAGGCCUGUCUCUUUAAGGUCUCAGUCUGAGUCACCUUCCCUCUAAGAAAAGAAACCUAGACACAUGGCAGCCAUCAUGUCUGAGUCACUCAUGUUUUAUACUGAAACUGAUAAUUCCUAUUAACCGGCGACUUUAAUUUCAAUCCAACAGGAUUUGUUUUCUUCUCAAAGUGUGAGUAAGUUAAAAGGUGCAUCUCUGCUGCCUAGCAGGCUCCCCACGUCGGUUUCCUUGUCUGAUGAUGAAGAUGAAGAGUGGCUUCUUCCUUUUAUUUUCCGAGCUGUGCAAUGGAGAAGACAUUAGAUUCUUGACACAGUUCUUUCUUUUUUUUUUUGAGAUGGAGUCUUGCUGUGUCACCCAGGCUGGAGUGCAGUGGUGCGAUUUCACCUCAUUGCAACUGGGUUCAAGCAGUUUUCCUGCCUCAACCUCCCG